This 555-nucleotide ribosomal RNA is filed under the name uncultured bacterium. RNAcentral's name for it is "partial 16S ribosomal RNA". It matches the Rfam family "Bacterial small subunit ribosomal RNA", at positions 355 to 900 of the family's 1533-position model. The record is from RNAcentral.
UAGGGAAUCUUCCACAAUGGACGCAAGUCUGAUGGAGCAACGCCGCGUGAGUGAAGAAGGUUUUCGGACCGUAAAGCUCUGUUGUUGGUGAAGAAGGAUAGAGGUAGUAACUGGCCUUUAUUUGACGGUAAUCAACCAGAAAGUCACGGCUAACUACGUGCCAGCAGCCGCGGUAAUACGUAGGUGGCAAGCGUUGUCCGGAUUUAUUGGGCGUAAAGCGAGCGCAGGCGGAAGAAUAAGUCUGAUGUGAAAGCCCUCGGCUUAACCGAGGAAUUGCAUCGGAAACUGUUUUUCUUGAGUGCAGAAGAGGAGAGUAGAACUCCAUGUGUAGCGGUGGAAUGCGUAGAUAUAUGGAAGAAUACCAGUGGCGAAGGCAGCUCUCUGGUCUGCAACUGACGCUGAGGCUCGAAAGCAUGGGUAGCGAACAGGAUUAGAUACCCUGGUAGUCCAUGCCGUAAACGAUGAGUGCUAAGUGUUGGGAGGCUUCCGCCUCUCAGUGCUGCAGCUAACGCAUUAAGCACUCCGCCUGGGGGAGUACGACCGCAAGGUUGAAAC